AGUGAACGCUGGCGGUAGGCCUAACACAUGCAAGUCGAACGGCAGCACAGUAAGAGCUUGCUCUUACGGGUGGCGAGUGGCGGACGGGUGAGGAAUACAUCGGCAUCUACUUUUUCGUGGGGGAUAACGUAGGGAAACUUACGCUAAUACCGCAUACGACCUACGGGUGAAAGCAGGGGAUCUUCGGACCUUGCGCGAUUGAAUGAGCCGAUGUCGGAUUAGCUAGUUGGAGGGGUAAAGGCCCACCAAGGCGACGAUCCGUAGCUGGUCUGAGAGGAUGAUCAGCCACACUGGAACUGAGACACGGUCCAGACUCCUACGGGAGGCAGCAGUGGGGAAUAUUGGACAAUGGGCGCAAGCCUGAUCCAGCCAUACCGCGUGGGUGAAGAAGGCCUUCGGGUUGUAAAGCCCUUUUGUUGGGAAAGAAAAGCAGCAGGUUAAUACCCCGCUGUUCUGACGGUACCCAAAGAAUAAGCACCGGCUAACUUCGUG
RNAcentral lists this ribosomal RNA (492 nucleotides) under uncultured bacterium. RNAcentral's name for it is "partial 16S ribosomal RNA". It matches the Rfam family "Bacterial small subunit ribosomal RNA", at positions 29 to 507 of the family's 1533-position model. The record is from RNAcentral.